This 895-nucleotide ribosomal RNA is filed under the name uncultured bacterium. RNAcentral describes it as "bacterial SSU rRNA". It matches the Rfam family "Bacterial small subunit ribosomal RNA", at positions 30 to 915 of the family's 1533-position model. The record is from RNAcentral.
UGAACGCUAGCUACAGGCUUAACACAUGCAAGUCGAGGGGAAACGACAUCGAAAGCUUGCUUUUGAUGGGCGUCGACCGGCGCACGGGUGAGUAACGCGUAUCCAACCUGCCCAUCACUUGGGGAUAACCUUGCGAAAGUAAGACUAAUACCCAAUGACGUCUCUAGAAGACAUCCGAAAGAGAUUAAAGAUUUAUCGGUGAUGGAUGGGGAUGCGUCUGAUUAGCUUGUUGGCGGGGUAACGGCCCACCAAGGCGACGAUCAGUAGGGGUUCUGAGAGGAAGGUCCCCCACAUUGGAACUGAGACACGGUCCAAACUCCUACGGGAGGCAGCAGUGAGGAAUAUUGGUCAAUGGGCGAGAGCCUGAACCAGCCAAGUAGCGUGCAGGAUGACGGCCCUAUGGGUUGUAAACUGCUUUUAUAAGGGAAUAAAGUGAGUCUCGUGAGACUUUUUGCAUGUACCUUAUGAAUAAGGACCGGCUAAUUCCGUGCCAGCAGCCGCGGUAAUACGGAAGGUCCGGGCGUUAUCCAGAUUUAUUGGGUUUAAAGGGAGCGUAGGCCGGAGAUUAAGCGUGUUGUGAAAUGUAGACGCUCAACGUCUGCACUGCAGCGCGAACUGGUUUCCUUGAGUACGCACAAAGUGGGCGGAAUUCGUGGUGUAGCGGUGAAAUGCUUAGAUAUCACGAAGAACUCCGAUUGCGAAGGCAGCUCACUGGAGCGCAACUGACGCUGAAGCUCGAAAGUGCGGGUAUCGAACAGGAUUAGAUACCCUGGUAGUCCGCACGGUAAACGAUGGAUGCCCGCUGUUGGUCUGAAUAGGUCAGCGGCCAAGCGAAAGCAUUAAGCAUCCCACCUGGGGAGUACGCCGGCAACGGUGAAACUCAAAGGAAUUGACG